GAAAUGCGAUAAGUAGUGUGAAUUGCAGAAUUCAGUAAAUCAUCGAAUCUUUGAACGCACAUUGCGCCCUUUGGUAUUCCUUAGGGCAUGCCUGUUCGAGCGUCAUCUAAACCUUCAAGCCCUGCUUGGUGUUGGGUGCCUGUCCCGCCUCCGCGCGCGGACUCACCUCAAAUCCAUUGGCGGCCCCCGCGUCGGCCACGAGCGCAGCAGAAACGCGAACUCGUGAGCCCGUCCGGGCGGCUCCCAGAAGCUACACCCACCCAGUUUGACCUCGGAUCAGGUAGGGAUACCCGCUGAACUUAAGC
Molecule: unclassified non-coding RNA, 305 nt
Filed under: plant metagenome
Description: partial contains 5.8S ribosomal RNA, internal transcribed spacer 2, and large subunit ribosomal RNA
Rfam family: 5.8S ribosomal RNA (bases 1-105)
Source: RNAcentral